Unclassified non-coding RNA from Rhinopithecus bieti (black snub-nosed monkey), 297 nucleotides. It matches the Rfam family "Metazoan signal recognition particle RNA". Rfam says of the family: The signal recognition particle (SRP) is a universally conserved ribonucleoprotein. It is involved in the co-translational targeting of proteins to membranes. Lineage: Eukaryota; Metazoa; Chordata; Mammalia; Primates; Cercopithecidae. The record is from Ensembl.
GCCAGAUGGCAGGGACGCACCUAUAGUCCCAGCUACUUGGGAGGCUGACGCGGGGGAGCGCGGGCGCCGGGGAGUUCUGGCUGUAGUUCUCGGCUAUGCCAGUCGGAUGUCCACACUAAGUUUGGCAUCAAUAUGGUGAUUCUGGGAGCAGAGAAACACUAGGUUGCAUAAGGAGUGUGGAGCCAGCCCAGGGUGGAAGUGGAGCAGGUCGAAACUCCCAUACUGAUCAAUAGAGGGAUCGUGCCUGCGAAUAGCCACCGUACUCCAGCCUGGGCAACACAGCAAGACCCAGUCUCU